Molecule: long non-coding RNA, 1201 nt
Organism: Triplophysa rosa
Lineage: Eukaryota; Metazoa; Chordata; Actinopteri; Cypriniformes; Nemacheilidae
Exons: 3
Source: RefSeq, a predicted model, not a curated record
UCCCAUAAACUGAACGAUCGGAAGUGCACACUGGACAAACUCAAUGUGGAACAUAGAGGAAAGAUCAGGAUUACACCAGGACCACAUACAUGUAGCUAUACACAUAAACAAGAGCUCAAUGGUAUGUCUCUGUAUCGUGUGACGGUAGAAAUGAAAUUAAAGUUUUUUCCUUUUAUUAAAAAUAAGUUGGGCUUAAGGACGUCAAUAAACUAAUAUACUCCAAAGCGCUAACAAAACGUACAUUUAGAAGAUAUAAGCAUUUAAAACGAACACUAUUGCACGACUAAAAACCUGCCUAUGACAUCAUUUUAACCUCUUUUAAAUUCUGAAGCGUUCUUGCCCCUUUUAAGUCAACAACAUUCAAUACAUGCAUUUAUUAAUAAACACAGUAAAAAAUCCCAUGAUUCUAUUGUAACUUACUUUUUUCUACAAAUGUAGGCUAGAAACCUUUUUUUUUUCUCUGAAGUUUCAGUAAAAUGUAUUAUUACUCUCUAUUGUGUUGUUGAGUAAUAUUUUGGUAACACUACCUACUCCUAUAAUACAGUUGUACAGUAAAUGUUCUCUGUUGUGUCUAGGUGUCUGUCAUCUCACUCUGGAUCCAAACACAGCUCACAUGCAUCUCGUAGUGUUUAACACCGUGUCUACACCGGAUGCGGCGUGACAAGAGACAAUAGAACGACUUGGAACCCAGUAUAAUUUUAAAAUUUGUCCACACCGGACGUGGCGUGACAAUCCCAUUAGAACAUGCCAUGUGUCACGCCGCGUCCGGUGUAGACACAGUGAGGAUGACAGCAGCAGCAUGACACCGGAGCGAGUGGACACAGGCAAGAGGAAACGGAGCCUGCACCAUCAGGAGCAUCUUGCUGUUUUAAGAGAUAUGCAGUUGGCCCGGCAAGCAAGGGAGCAGGAAGUGGAAGCUUAAGGACGGAGGAAAAUGCACAAUUGGCUGUAUUCAAUCAAACCUUCCUCAAUGUCAUGGGGAUGCUUGUACAGGCGAGAAGUGGACAGCGAGAACAGAACAUUUUUUGCACAUUGUUUAACGUUUGCUCUGUUUAUGUUUUAAAAUAUAAACAGCAACUUUGUUUUAAAAAGUCUUGUGUAUAUAUUGAUUGAACUGCAUAUAUUGUUCAGUAAUUGCUCUUUUUAGAAUUUCAACCUUUACAACUUUGUAUUUGUUUUCCUUCAAUAAAUACUACACUGG